RNA transcript from Andrographis paniculata, 1905 nucleotides. It is a transcript of the gene named squalene epoxidase 1-like, with no coding region annotated. The transcript has 9 exons. The record is from RefSeq and is a predicted model, not a curated record. NCBI's taxonomy places the organism in Eukaryota, Viridiplantae, Streptophyta, Magnoliopsida, Lamiales, Acanthaceae.
AUUCCACCACCGCUCACGGGAGAAAUAUAUAUAUCAUUCUUCAAUCUGCGACUGUGUAGAGAGCGCAGCCGACCGUCGUCUCUCCGGCGGGGGAUAGUUUGCUCGUUUUGGGAAACCUACCUGCAUUGCAGGAAAGAGGAUGGAUCUCGCGCUCCUGUGUUCUGUUCUCGUGGCGUUUCUAGGGGUUAUUGGAUUUUGUUAUUGCACUCGGAGGAAGAAGGAUAGGAGGUGGUUGAGGGAGGAGGAGGAGGGGAGUGGCGCCACUAAGACUACCGUCAUUCCUGAGGGAGAAUGUGGAUCCGGAGACGCCGGCGAAGAUGAUGUGAUUAUUGUUGGUGCUGGUGUUGCCGGCGCCGCACUCGCUUAUACCCUCGGGAAGGAUGGGCGACGUGUUCGUGUGAUAGAAAGAGAUUUAUCAGAGCCUGAUAGGAUUGUUGGAGAGCUACUGCAGCCAGGUGGUUAUCUGAAGCUGGUUGAGUUAGGGUUGGAAGAUUGUGUAGAGGGGAUUGAUGCACAGAGGGUGAAAGGUUAUGCUCUAUUCAAGGAUGGUAGAUCCACCCAGCUUCCUUAUCCAUUGGAAAAUUUUCAGUCCGAUGUGUCUGGUAGGAGCUUCCACAAUGGCCGCUUCAUACAAAGGAUGCGCGAGAAAGCUGCGUCACUUCCAAAUGUUCGAAUGGAGCAAGGAACCGUGACAUCUCUGCUCGAAGAAAAUGGGACCAUAAGAGGUGUACUCUACAAAACAAAAUCUGGUGAAGAGGUGAAAGCUUACGCGCCUUUAACCGUUGUGUGUGACGGGUGCUUUUCUAACUUGCGGAGAACCCUCUGCAGUCCGAAGGUUGAUGUGCCGUCUUGUUUCGUUGGAAUUGUCCUCGAGAACUGCCAACUUCCUUUCGAAAACCACGGACAUGUGAUUUUAGCAGAUCCAUCACCUAUCCUGUUUUAUCCCAUCAGCAGCACGGAGGUCCGGUGUCUGGUUGAUGUUCCCGGGCAGAAGGUGCCUUCAAUAUCGAAUGGCGAAAUGGCCAAAUAUCUUAAAAAUGUUGUUGCUCCUCAGGUUCCUCACCAACUGCGCGAAGCAUUUGUUUCGGCUAUAGAGAAAGGCAACAUUAGGACAAUGCCAAAUCGAAGCAUGCCAGCUGCUCCUCAUCCAACUCCCGGCGCUUUGCUUAUGGGCGACGCAUUCAACAUGCGCCAUCCAUUGACCGGUGGGGGAAUGACAGUUGCAUUGUCGGAUAUAGUUGUGUUGCGCAAUCUUCUCAGGCCCCUACGCGACCUCAGAGACGCACCUUCACUCUGCAAAUAUCUAGAAUCUUUCUACACUCUACGCAAGCCGGUAGCUUCCACUAUCAACACAUUGGCUGGCGCCCUGUACAAGGUCUUCAGCGCUUCACCCGAUGAAGCGCGCAACGAAAUGAGGCAGGCAUGCUUCGACUACUUGAGCCUUGGAGGUGUCUUCUCAAACGGGCCUAUAUCUUUGCUCUCCGGGCUGAAUCCUCGACCGCUGAGUCUGGUUUGCCAUUUCUUUGCUGUUGCAAUAUACGGUGUUGGCAGAUUGUUGCUGCCCUUCCCAUCACCGAAACGAAUGUGGAUUGGAGCCAGAUUGAUAUCGGGCGCAUCAGCAAUAAUCUUACCGAUCAUCAAAGCUGAAGGAGUCAGGCAAAUGUUCUUUCCGGCAACUGUUCCAGCUUACUACAGAGCUCCCCCUACUAAAUAAGGGAUGUUAAACCGGAUAUCCGUACGCACGCUAGCCGGGAGGACGAAAAGGCCACAAAGGAAAAAAGAAUGGAUGUUAGUUGGGAUAAAACUCAAUUAUAUGGAGGAGACUCUCAAAAGGAAGAUGAUCUGAAGGAGAACCCUUAAAGCUGCCCAUUUCUCUUCCUUUCCGACUUGAUAGCUUCGUAGGAC